UACGUAGGUGGCAAGCGUUGUCCGGAAUUAUUGGGCGUAAAGCGCGCGCAGGCGGCUUCUUAAGUCUGAUGUGAAAUCUCGGGGCUCAACCCCGAGCGGCCAUUGGAAACUGGGAAGCUUGAGUACAGAAGAGGAGAGUGGAAUUCCACGUGUAGCGGUGAAAUGCGUAGAUAUGUGGAGGAACACCAGUGGCGAAGGCGACUCUCUGGUCGUAACUGACGCUGAGGCGCGAAAGCGUGGGGAGCAAACAGG
This 252-nucleotide ribosomal RNA is filed under the name uncultured bacterium. RNAcentral's name for it is "partial 16S ribosomal RNA". It matches the Rfam family "Bacterial small subunit ribosomal RNA", at positions 524 to 776 of the family's 1533-position model. The record is from RNAcentral.